Equus caballus (horse) is the source of this 178-nucleotide small nuclear RNA. Its record names the gene U2. It matches the Rfam family "U2 spliceosomal RNA". Rfam says of the family: U2 is a small nuclear RNA (snRNA) component of the spliceosome (involved in pre-mRNA splicing). Complementary binding between U2 snRNA (in an area lying towards the 5' end but 3' to hairpin I) and the branchpoint sequence (BPS) of the intron results the bulging out of an unpaired adenosine, on the BPS, which initiates a nucleophilic attack at the intronic 5' splice site, thus starting the first of two transesterification reactions that mediate splicing. The record is from Ensembl. Lineage: Eukaryota; Metazoa; Chordata; Mammalia; Perissodactyla; Equidae.
AUCGCUUCUCGGCCUUUUGGCUAAGAUCAAGUGUAGGAGGGCUUGACUGGGAUGGAGAAUCUUCCUGGGAUGAUGGUUAUAUUCUAGAGCUUGAUAAGGUUCAGAUUACACAGGUAUAUACAUUUAUCAAAACUCAGUGAGUGUGCACUUAAGAUUUUUACAUUUUAUUGUAUGUCAA